GAUAAGUAGGUGUUGGAGUGCUUUUAAGAAGGAUUUGAUGGCAUACAGGUGCAUGCAGAAGAUAGACAGCAGCCUGCUCAGAGCCCUGGAAGGCCAUGCAAGUCACAAGAAUAUUAUCUAAAAUGUUACACCCUUGCCAGCUUCAGAAAGCAUACCUAGGAAUGAAGUGUGGAAAUGAUCAGCAGUGUCACCUGGGCUUCUCCUGCUGUAUCACAUCCUUGCCUGCUCUCAGCACAGCCUUGCUGUUUACACCUGCUGGGACCACACAGCUGUGUCUCUGUGAGACCAACAGGGGCCUUUCUGCUUCACUCCCUCCCCAUCUGACCUGCACAUCAGCACAUGGAAAGCAGGAGGAAGCUCUGCAGUUUCUGCCCUGCGUGCCCAAGUGAAAGGCAGAGCAGCCAAAGGUCUACAGCCCAACUGAAAGGAAGGACUGUGGCAAGGCUGGCUGAGUCCUGGUAGCGUCCUCUUCUCUCUCCAUUCUAGUCACAGUGAAGCAGAACAGUAUUUGGGUUUUUCCUUGUGCAAUGGGUGCAUUAGUCACCAGAGGUAUGUGGUGUAUGUCCAUCAAGCGCCUAGAGACUGUGCAGAGGAGCCGGUCUUGAGGAAAUAAGUGCUUCAACUGAGGGCCCCUGGUGCCAACCUCAGAUCAGCUGGGCUCACCCCUCUUUCUGAGCCUUGUAAAAGGUACGUGAGCUUACUACCUUGUGAGCCAUGACUAAUGCUCAAGAGAUGGCACCACCUCACAGCAGCUGCUUAACAUGCCCUCCCAGAGCUCACCUUGUACCUGCCUGCUCUGAGGCAGUUGCCUGUUGUGACCCUCUCUGGAGAAAGCUAAUGAGUCUAUGGGACAAAGAGCUUCAUUCAAACAAGGGUCCUAGAAACACCACAAGUCUCUUUUGGAGAUCCUUCCUAGAGAGAGAAGUACAAAUGUCUCUGCUGCAGGAUUCUGUUCACCAAGAACUAUUUGUCAGUAGGAAGAAACCAAAAGCACUAGCAGGGCUUUAUUUGCUCUUCUGCAGAGCAAAGGGACUGAUCAAAUGCUGUUCAUGGGAGCUCAGUGGUAGAACACAGUAACACACAGCCAAAUGGAUGAGGAACUUACAGGCUCUUGUCUGUUCCAGAGGCAGAUUUGUCAGUGAUGAAGAAUGGGAGUUUACAUCAUGGAAGUCAGUGGAUGCCCAGUCUCCUGGAUAUUGUUACUGAUCAUGAGAGAAAAUAUUAAUGCAAACAACUAAGAAGCUACAUCUAUAUGAGGUAUUUUUUGUCUCAAGAUAGCAAAAGUGAGCUAUAACUGAGUUAUUGGAGUUUCAUACCUCAGCAUGGUAGUUAGCAUGUCUGAGCCUAUAGCUAUAUUAACCUCCUGAGACCAGUUAAUUGACUGCUAGUUGAUAAAUAGUAUGCCUGCUAUUAACCAGAAUGAGAAGGCACAGGGGAAGAGGCUAUUUCAGUGACAGGUCCUUUAGGGAUUAGAUGCAACCUAUAACAAAUCAGAGACAGUAGCCUGGAUUCCUGUGAAAUGUCCUGUUACUCCCUGCAGCCACACAACAAUCCAGACCAGUCCCUUUCAGCCUGCCUCCCUUCACUGCCAUGGAGCUCUGCACUGCUUUUCAAAGGUGUUCCAAACCCUCAUGCCCUUGAGGGCUGCCCACAGACCUAGAGGAGGUGGGACUCCCUUUCCCACACAUCGUCUCUCAACCAUGAAGCACCAUCCUGUUGUUUGGAAGCACCAUCCUUGGUCAUUACAAGGCUGUGGCAGAGCUGAACCCUGGCCUGGUGCUUCCUGGGGACUGGGUGACAGGGCAGGAAGGAAGGGGAGCAGACUGUCUCCUGGCUGGAGACAUGGCAUGAAGCCGGAUCAUGCUGCCAGGCUGUGUUCCCCACUGCAACACGUGGCUGCUGUGCCUGGCUCUCAGCAGAAAAAGUCCUUUUCCUGAACUCUGCAACCGGGCAUUUCUCUGCAUCCCCUUCUCAGUUCCUAACACCAGCUUUCACUCUUUGUAACUGUGAAACCUGAGAGCCUGCUAACACAGAGAGGAAUAAACUCUGCUUGGGAGUGACCAAUCAUUAUCCGUGCUAUGAAAUGUAAAGACAAGCUUUAGGCAUGGAGUUCUUAAUCACUUUAUAAAAUAUUUUUAUAGAAACAUAGGUAUUUUUAAAAAUUAAAAGGACUGCCUAAAAAAUCUGAUCUUUAAAAAAAACUGUUAGAAAAAGUGGUGAGGUUUAAGGUAAAAAAGAAAGUCCACAACUUUUUUUCUAGGGGAUUCAUAAAUAAAAUUUAGGAGAUGAAAUGAUGAAACUGAUCUCCUUUUUCUCCUUUCAGUUAAGGAAAUGUCAAAGGAAUGUAACUGCCAGUAUAUUUUAGUGAUCUUGCAGUGCUUUUAUUUUAAAAAGAGCAAGAGGUAAAGCUAUGCACCUAACCUGUUAUCUGUGAACUGAAUCAAAAAAAGACAUCAUGGGAAACCUGGAAGCAGAGAUUGCCAUUUGCUAUGCAUUUAUUAAUUGUUAAUACUGGUGGUGUUAUACUAACAGCUAGGGAUUCCAUG
Molecule: long non-coding RNA, 2546 nt
Organism: Nothoprocta perdicaria
Lineage: Eukaryota; Metazoa; Chordata; Aves; Tinamiformes; Tinamidae
Exons: 4
Source: RefSeq, a predicted model, not a curated record